GAGCUUGCUUCAGAGCACAUAUACUAAAGUUGGGAUGAUAUAGAGAAGAUUAGCAUGCCUCUACACAAGGAUGACAAAUUCACAAAGCAUUCCAUAUUUUU
RNAcentral lists this small nuclear RNA (101 nucleotides) under Canis lupus familiaris (dog). The record is from RNAcentral. Lineage: Eukaryota; Metazoa; Chordata; Mammalia; Carnivora; Canidae.